RNAcentral lists this ribosomal RNA (473 nucleotides) under uncultured organism. RNAcentral's name for it is "partial 16S ribosomal RNA". It matches the Rfam family "Bacterial small subunit ribosomal RNA", at positions 335 to 800 of the family's 1533-position model. The record is from RNAcentral.
ACUCCUCGGGAGGCAGCAGUGGGGAAUUUUGGACAAUGGGCGAAAGCCUGAUCCAGCCAUGCCGCGUGCAGGAUGAAGGCCUUCGGGUUGUAAACUGCUUUUGUACGGAACGAAACGGCCUUUUCUAAUAAAGAGGGCUAAUGACGGUACCGUAAGAAUAAGCACCGGCUAACUACGUGCCAGCAGCCGCGGUAAUACGUAGGGUGCAAGCGUUAAUCGGAAUUACUGGGCGUAAAGCGUGCGCAGGCGGUUAUGUAAGACAGUUGUGAAAUCCCCGGGCUCAACCUGGGAACUGCAUCUGUGACUGCAUAGCUAGAGUACGGUAGAGGGGGAUGGAAUUCCGCGUGUAGCAGUGAAAUGCGUAGAUAUGCGGAGGAACACCGAUGGCGAAGGCAAUCCCCUGGACCUGUACUGACGCUCAUGCACGAAAGCGUGGGGAGCAAACAGGAUUAGAUACCCUAGUAGUCCCAUGA